This 367-nucleotide transfer-messenger RNA is filed under the name Oscillospiraceae bacterium. It matches the Rfam family "transfer-messenger RNA". Rfam says of the family: Bacterial tmRNA, also known as 10Sa RNA or SsrA, is named for its dual tRNA and mRNA-like properties. Its role is to liberate the mRNA from a stalled ribosome. Lineage: Bacteria; Bacillati; Bacillota; Clostridia; Eubacteriales; Oscillospiraceae. RNAcentral also lists the same sequence under 1 other name. The record is from RNAcentral.
GGGGGCGUAAAGGUUUCGACGGGAAUUUUGAAGUCCGAUAAGCGAGCAGAGCCGGUAUAUUCUCUUUAAACUGUGCCAUCGUUUAAAUAUAAACGCUAGAAAAAAUAUUUCUGUAAGAACAAACUUACAGGUAGCAGCCUAAGUCUGCUUCCGUCUGCUGACAGAGUACCGCGACUGUUUGUCAGGCGUCGAUUAGCGGUCAACGUCUUGUCGGAGUGUCCGUUCCGGUGAGAUGUAUUCGGACUACCAGCUUAUUCAGUUUGCUUGUUAACGGUUUUUGCUGGGAAUUUUAAUCAAUAAGAUACGCUCGUAGAAAGUCGUAUGAAUGGGUUUUCGGACAGGAGUUCAAUUCUCCUCGCCUCCACCA